GGGAUGGCCGAGCGGUUUAAGGCACCGGUCUUGAAAACCGGUGUCUGAUGGCGAACAAUGCCUUGUAACACAAGGGUCAUCGCUGAAAAGGAGGACGAAAUCUGCCCCAAAUCUGCGCCCG
This 121-nucleotide transfer RNA is filed under the name Mesorhizobium onobrychidis. RNAcentral's name for it is "Mesorhizobium sp. OM4 tRNA-Ser". Lineage: Bacteria; Pseudomonadati; Pseudomonadota; Alphaproteobacteria; Hyphomicrobiales; Phyllobacteriaceae. The record is from RNAcentral.